GAGUUUGAUCCUGGCUCAGAGCGAACGCUGGCGGCAGGCCUAACACAUGCAAGUCGAGCGGCCGUAGCAAUACGGCAGCGGCAGACGGGAGAGUAACACGUGGGAACGCGCCCUUCGGUUCGGAAUAACUCAGGGAAACUUGAGCUAAUACCGGAUACGCCCUUACGGGGAAAGAUUUAUUGCCGAAGGAACGGCCCGCGUCCGAUUAGCUAGUUGGUGAGGUAAUGGCUCACCAAGGCGACGAUCGGUAGCUGGUCUGAGAGGAUGACCAGCCUCACUGGGACUGAGACACGGCCCAGACUCCUACGGGAGGCAGCAGUGAGGAAUCUUCCGCAAUGGGCGAAAGCCUGACGGAGCGACGCCGCGUGUGGGAUGAAGUCUUUCGGGAUGUAAACCACUGUCGGAGGGGAAGACAAAAAAGACGGUACCCUCCAAGAAAGCCCCGGCUAACUACGUGCCAGCAGCCGCGGUAAUACGUAGGGGGCAAGCGUUAUCCAGAUUUACUGGGCGUAAAGCGCGUGUAGGCGGCUGGUUAGGUGUGAUGUGAAAUCUUCCGGCUCAACCGGAAAACUGCAUUGCAAACCGGCCUGGCUAGAGUGCAGGAGAGGGAAGCGGAAUUCCAGGUGUAGCGGUGAAAUGCGUGGAUAUCUGGAGGAACACCAGUGGCGAAGGCGGCUUCCUGGCCUGCAACUGACGCUGAGACGCGAAAGCGUGGGGAGCGAACCGGAUUAGAUACCCGGGUAGUCCACGCCCUAAACGUUGUGAACUAGGUGUUGGUCGGAUUGACCCGAUCAGUGCCGCAGCUAACGCAUUAAGUUCACCGCCUGGGGACUACGGCCGCAAGGUUAAAACUCAAAGGAAUAGGCGGGGGCCCGCACAAGCAGCGGAGCGUGUGGUUUAAUUCGAGGCGACGCGAAGAACCUUACCUGGGCUUGACAUGUACGGAAUUUCCCAGAGAUGGGAAAGUGCCCGAAAGGGAACCGUAACACAGGUGCUGCAUGGCUGUCGUCAGCUCGUGUCGUGAGAUGUUGGGUUAAGUCCCGCAACGAGCGCAACCCUUGUCGUUAAUUGCCAUCAUUUAGUUGGGCACUUUAACGAGACUGCCGGUGACAAACCGGAGGAAGGUGGGGAUGACGUCAAGUCAGCAUGGCCUUUAUGUCUGGGGCUACACACGUGCUACAAUGGCCGGUACAAACCGUCGCAAAACCGUAAGGUCGAGCUAAUCGGAGAAAGCCGGUCUCAGUUCGGAUCGUCGGCUGCAACUCGCCGGCGAGAAGUUGGAAUCGCUAGUAAUCCGGAUCAGCACGCCGCGGUGAAUACGUUCCCGGGCCUUGCACACAC
Molecule: ribosomal RNA, 1341 nt
Filed under: uncultured bacterium
Lineage: Bacteria
Description: bacterial SSU rRNA
Rfam family: Bacterial small subunit ribosomal RNA
Source: RNAcentral